CCAGCCGGUCGGACGGCCGCGCGGACCGGGGCCGAAAGGCUGUUCGCGAGGAAAGUCCGGGCUCCACGGAAAAACGGUGCCGGAUAACAUCCGGCGGGGGCGACCCCAGGGACAGUGCCACAGAAAGCAGACCGCCCCGCCUUCGGGCAGGGUAAGGGUGAAAGGGUGGGGUAAGAGCCCACCGCGUCGACGGUAACGGAGGCGGCAAGGUAAACCCCACCGGGAGCAAGACCGAAUAGGAACGGCGCGGGGGGCAACCCUCAGGGCUUUUUCCGGCUUGACCGUUCGGGUAGGUUGCUAGAGGCCGAUGGCAACAUCGGUCCCAGAGGAAUGGUCGUCACGUUGCAUCGCUUUCGGGCGGUGCGGCCAUACAAAACCCGGCUUAUAGACCGGCUGGCAUU
RNAcentral lists this RNase P RNA (401 nucleotides) under Nitratireductor aquibiodomus. RNAcentral describes it as "RNase P RNA component class A". It matches the Rfam family "Bacterial RNase P class A". Rfam says of the family: Ribonuclease P (RNase P) is a ubiquitous endoribonuclease, found in archaea, bacteria and eukarya as well as chloroplasts and mitochondria. Its best characterised activity is the generation of mature 5'-ends of tRNAs by cleaving the 5'-leader elements of precursor-tRNAs. The record is from RNAcentral. RNAcentral also lists the same sequence under 2 other names. Lineage: Bacteria; Pseudomonadati; Pseudomonadota; Alphaproteobacteria; Hyphomicrobiales; Phyllobacteriaceae.